UGAAAGCUGUGACCUGGAAGCUGGCCCUAACAAAUGUUGUCUUGUCACUCUUUGUCUAAUGAAGGUUCAGUAGUAGUAGUACGAAGCUAACCAGCAAAGACUCACACCUCAGACCUGUGGCAGCUGAAGACCUGCGGGUUGUGGGCUCAAACCCCGCUUGCUGUACUCUUGAGCGAGGUGCUUCACUCAGGUCGUCCCAAAAACCCGAUAUUCAGAGAAAAUUGUUUUCAACACCUUUCAACGUUCAACGUUCAAGAGGACACAGAUCUCGAGAUCUUCAUUCUUUCUCCAUUGCCAGUAAUAAUUAUUGCGGAAGACGUCUGUUUUUAACCCCACAUUAAGAAAACUUCAUAUUUCUGGAUAACUAGGAAAAAUAAACGACUGCCUGGUUUUGAUGA
This is a long non-coding RNA of Lepisosteus oculatus (spotted gar), 398 nucleotides long. RefSeq lists it as uncharacterized. NCBI's taxonomy places the organism in Eukaryota, Metazoa, Chordata, Actinopteri, Semionotiformes, Lepisosteidae. The record is from RefSeq and is a predicted model, not a curated record.